This is a long non-coding RNA of Phascolarctos cinereus (koala), 1371 nucleotides long. The record is from Ensembl. NCBI's taxonomy places the organism in Eukaryota, Metazoa, Chordata, Mammalia, Diprotodontia, Phascolarctidae.
GAGGCUCUUCGAGAGCAGGCUCUGGGAUACUUCAGGAAUACGAUCAUGGCUUGCUUGAUCUGUCUCAAGAUUCAGAACCUAGCAGCCUGGACUCCCCGUCUUCUACCACUGUGUUCCUAUCUUCUGAAGAGCCAGGUCGCUCCACCACGGAUCUCCCAUCGCCAUCCUCCUCCUGUGAGCAUGUGCCCCCACCAUUUUCGCCUCCUUCCUCAGCCCUGCAGCCCCUGCUGCCCUCGCUGCUCCCAUUGGCACCAAAGGCCAGCUCUAGCACCUCUAGACAUCUUGGACUUUACUCCCCUUUGGUCACAUCUCCAGAACCAGCCCCUCGCCUCAUUGACUGGCUGCCCAAUCUUACCUCGGCAAUACCUCCAAGUGGGAGCUCUGGGGAUGAACAGGAGCAUGUGCCUCCCAUGGAGGGAAGUACUCAGGCCCCAGAGAAGAGCAGAGAUAGAACUUUGCACGUGAAUGGGAGAGAGAGAGAUGGUCAGCGAGGGAGUGUGGAAGAAUGGCCACCACCAGAGACCUGCCCAUCUCUUCCCUGUCAUGUGGGUCCUUCAGGCUCCAAACAGUUUCCUGCAGCCACUCCAAGUUUGGAGGCAGAUGUGGGGAACAUCCUUGUGGAGCUGAGGACAAUGAAUGGACACUUGGAUGUUAUCGCUAAAGCCCUCACCAAGCUGGCUGCAUCGCUUCUGCCCCAAGCCCAGAACACUCCAGAUAGCCAAGGAUCCAAAUAGAGCAUCAUGGCCCACUUCCUGCUCCCCUCCUCCUAAGAAGACUUCCCUUGGAUACUAUCAGUCUACUCUCAUGUUUGCUCCAAGUACACAGUCUUGGUUGGGUCCCAGAUUUAAAGUGUAUCCAUUAAACAGUCUCAGGAAUGAAUGGUGCUACUUUCUCUAAAAAUACUUAUGCAGUCAAUCUCUGGUCUCCUCUAUUUGGACAUCCCUUCCCAUAAUGCAGACUGUGCUCCUUCUAUGUCUGCCUGUUCUGUGAAGCUCUUGAUGAUGACUUCUCGGAACUUUGACACAAGAUCAACAGGCAGAGGGUUGAAGGUGGGGCAGGACAUUCUGCAUUUUCUCCUAAUAUUAUGAGGAUACCAUUGGAGCACUUGUCCCUUGGCCAGAUGAUGGCAUGUGGUUUGAUGGUCAACCUAGAAGGUAGCAGUGGGGCCCAGUUGAAAGAGAACUGGCUCUGGACUCAGAGGACCUGGAGGUUCAAAUUCCACAUCUGAUGCUUACCAUGUGUAUGUGUCCUUUGGCAAGACACUUAUUUCUCAGACCCUCGGUUUCCUCAUCUGUAAAAUGAAGGGAUUAGACUAGAUGACCUCUGAGGUCCCUUCCAGUUCUAAUUCUAUAAGCUCUAUGAAGAUCUUCA